GAUGAACGCUGGCGGCGUGCCUAAUACAUGCAAGUCGAACGCUUCACUUCGGCGAAGAGUGGCGAACGGGUGAGUAAUACAUAAGUAACCUGGCAUCUACAGGGGGAUAACUGAUGGAAACGUCAGCUAAGACCGCAUAGGUGUAGAGAUCGCAUGAACUCUAUAUGAAAAGUGCUACGGGACUGGUAGAUGAUGGACUUAUGGCGCAUUAGCUUGUUGGUAGGGUAACGGCCUACCAAGGCGACGAUGCGUAGCCGACCUGAGAGGGUGACCGGCCACACUGGGACUGAGACACGGCCCAGACUCCUACGGGAGGCAGCAGUAGGGAAUUUUCGGCAAUGGGGGAAACCCUGACCGAGCAACGCCGCGUGAAGGAAGAAGUAAUUCGUUAUGUAAACUUCUGUCAUAGAGGAAGAACGGUGGAUAUAGGGAAUGAUAUCCAAGUGACGGUACUCUAUAAGAAAGCCACGGCUAACUACGUG
This 482-nucleotide ribosomal RNA is filed under the name uncultured bacterium. RNAcentral's name for it is "partial 16S ribosomal RNA". It matches the Rfam family "Bacterial small subunit ribosomal RNA", at positions 28 to 507 of the family's 1533-position model. The record is from RNAcentral.